Molecule: long non-coding RNA, 204 nt
Filed under: Elaeis guineensis (African oil palm)
Lineage: Eukaryota; Viridiplantae; Streptophyta; Magnoliopsida; Arecales; Arecaceae
Description: long non-coding RNA (EGUI_LNC060816)
Source: RNAcentral
AUGGCUGGUGAAGAGUCCAAAUGCUCAUGGACUUUGAGUCUUACAUGUCUAGAACUUUGUGAUCGAGAAUCAGGAUUCUCUAAUCAUGAGUUCCACACAUUUUGGGUACCGAGAUUAAGAGUCCCACUGGUUUGAAACUUUUUGAUUAGGAUUUCAUAUCGAUGGACUCUGAUGCCCAAUUGCCCAUCGAAUUUGGACUCAGUA